This 40512-nucleotide long non-coding RNA is filed under the name Arabidopsis lyrata. Its description in RNAcentral is "long non-coding RNA (ALYR_LNC001998)". Lineage: Eukaryota; Viridiplantae; Streptophyta; Magnoliopsida; Brassicales; Brassicaceae. The record is from RNAcentral.
UUCUUUGUUGGUACCCGCAAGUUCAUCAACACUUUGGGCAAGAAACAAGUGCAUUAAAAUAGUCAUGGGAUCAAUAUAAACAAGUAAACCAAUUUCGGAUUGAACCAUUUCUUUUCCACAAAGUGAUUCAGAAAGUAUGUCACAAAGUAGAUCAGCUACUUGAUAUGUCCUAAGACAUGAAAUUAGUUCCAUAGAUUUAUUUAAAAGAUCUACUAUUUUCUCACACUCUUUAAGGAUUAACAAGUUUAUUAUCACAUCAUUCGAAUCGCUAGAAACAAUUAGAAGUAAUAGUUUACUUACCUGACUUAGAUCCUCGGUGAGUGUGUCUUUCGAAAUCAACUUGGUUUGUUGAUUUGAUGGCUGGUCCGGUGGUUCUUCUUGCAGCAGGAUGUUGUUGGUAAAAAUUUCAUUCUCCUUAGUGACAGAUUUGCAUAUCAAAAGCUCUUGAUAUUGUUGUACAACAUCAUUCGUUGUUUAUCCCUCUUUUGGAUCCACAUGUGUCUCCUUAUUACCUACAUGUGUCUCAAUACUUUUGGCACAAGAAAAGUGUAUUAAGGCAGUCAAGGGACGUUCAUAAACAUAAUGAAAUAAGUUACUUUGAACCUUUUCAUGUGUUAGACCAGAAUCAACUUCUUGUUUGCUUUGAUCCGAGAGUAACCGUAACAUUGUUGUGGCCUCUCUUUGAUCUUCGCAAAUCUUCAUGGUACUUGUACUUUCACUGGCACCCAAAGACAAGAUCAAGUGCAUUAUACUGGAAAUUGAAAUGAUAUGGAUAGGGUUCUUGAAACUCCUUUCGAAUAUAAGAUAAUGCCAAUAUCGAACAAGAUAGUAAGUUUCGCUUACUUGUGUACCAUGUAAGGUGUUCGCUAUCAAUUCAGCCAUGAUGUGGAUGAUCUUAGAAGCAAGAUCAGCUGGUGUUGAGCAGGGAUGUAUCAUCACACGUCCUUUGAGGGCUGCUUGAUCAUAAGUCUUAUUUCGGCAAAGUUGUGAUAAUGUUGUUGUUUCCGAAAGUUGUUCCUCAAAACUUAUGUCAUUCUCAACUUCCUUUAGAGUUGCUUCCUUGUGGUCUACUUCUUUAGAUGUUUCAUCAAUGCUAGGACACAGACCUGCAUCAAUAACCUUUGGCAAAGACAAGUGCAUUAAUCUAGAAUUGGGAAUUUCUAAACUUGAAUUCACUAGACAAUCAUUGGAGUUAGAUGCAUUCAAUUUCAGCUCUAGUGAUGUGACAUCUUCUACUUGUCUUUUAGUGCAUGUUGCAGCAAAAUGUCCCCUCUUAUGACAUCUAUAACAUGUCGGUUCAUUUGAUUUUAAAGAAUUAGAGGACUUAUCUUGCUUUAGCUCAGCGUGUGGCUCAACAUAUGGUUCAGCAUGUGGUUCAAGUACCGGUAUGGGGCUCAGUUCUCCUUUUGCGCCUGUACCUUUCUCAUUCUUGGCGGAAUCUUGAUCCGCGUUAUGAUUAGAACUAACAUGUUGAUGUGUAGUAUUCUUUCGGCUUGGUUCCUUUGGAAGGUUACUGUUUUGAACAGGCUGGGAAAGCAUGUGAGGUGCAUAUCUCUCCCUCAUAAGCAACUUUAGUUGUCCCCACAUUUUGACUGAUGGCUCCUUGUACCACCGUCUAUCUUUUUCUUCUCGGUCCCACCAACGUUUUGCGCUUCCCAUGAGUUGUUCAAGACAAUAGUUGAGCCUCUCUUCUUUGGGAAUAGAAUAGUAUCUAAAGUACUUAUCCAUGUUGAGUUCCCAUUGUAGAUAAUCUCUCUCACGUCCUGCAAACUCAAAAGAUUCAGGUCCAAAAUACUCAUAACCAUUGUCUAGAGAUAACCUGAGUUUUGUUUGGUAGGUUCGGGUGGGAUUGGAUAGUAGUGGGUCUCGACGAGUGCCACGUUUCAGCUCGCCUCCUCUUAGAUUAGUGAUCCCUGAGUCUCUCUCAGCUAGGUAGUCACGUCUACCACAUGGAUAUGGUUUACGCCACAUUGAUGAUCUCUGAGUCACUUCUUGAGUCACUUCCUGUACUACUCGUGUAUUGGUGUGAAAGAACUUGUGUCUCGGUUUUGCUUGACGUGAGGCUGUAGGCCCUCGGUAUAAGAAGGUGUGAUGGUCGAGCUUCUCUUCAUGCCUUGGAAGACGUUGGCAAUUGUAUUCCUUCGCCGUUGCCCCUUUAUACUCCAUGUUAUCUUCCCACUUAAGAUAAUUCUCUUUUCCUGAAAAAGACAUAGCUCGAGUCAAUGGAGAGUUUGAACCAUGGCUGCAAAAAUCAUUAUUAAAUUUAAUACAUGGUUUAGAAUAGCCUGUAUUGGUGUGAGUCAGGCGGUUCUGGUUCUAGUGCUUCACAGCCUGGUUCAUCUCUUGAUUCAGAAUCUGAAUGAUCGUUGUGAUGCCAAGAGAUGCUUCCAUAGUUGUCUUCCACAUCCGACAUGACUUGGUAAGGCUCUUCUCCUUGGAUUUCUUCAUCCGAAUAGAACUCAAUAGACUCCAUAGCUACUCUGGUCUUCGUGAAAGAAGAAUCUAGCACAAGCAAAAGAAAGAUGUAUCAAAAGUAAAUAAACAAAUAAGGAAAAAGAACAAAAUAUGGAAUUUUUUUUUUCUUUUUAUUUUAUAAAAUCAAUGCAAAAAUUCAAAUGAAAUUCGAAAAUCUGAAAUAUAAAAAGGGAAAACGAGCGUUUAAUUUUCUUUUCUGGUUUUAUAACAAUAAAUUUCAAAAUUUAAUUUAAAAAUAAAAAAAAAAUCCAAUUUUUAUUGCUUUUUCUUAAAAAUUCAGAAAUAAAUAAUAAACAGAAGCAAAUAAUUUUUUUUUUAUGAAAGUACUGAAGAAAAUAAACAAUAACAAAGCAAGAAACAAAAUUUUUAUUUGGUUUUCAAAUUUAUAAAAAUUAAAUAAUAAAACUUUAAAAAUUGAAAAAGAUAUAGGUUGAAGAGAUACAACCUUGGGGAUAGGAGCUUUUGAAGCUCUGAUACCAGAUGAUGCAAGAAUUGGAGCUAAUCCAACUUUAGAUCACUUGAUGAUCAAGAGUUCCAAGCUUGCCACGCGGAAGGUGGGAUGAUGAAGGUGGUGAUCUGACACGCUGGCGAUCGAUUCUCUCGUGUGGGAUCGAUUCAAGGGGAAUUAAUGGAUAGAAGGGUGAUUGACUCGCUCAAUCAGUGGGGUAAUCGACUCCUCGAUCAAUGAACGAAUGAAGGAUGUUGAAUAACUCAACAAAUUUAAUCUGCAGAAUCCUUAAGUACUUGGUGACUCACUCACAAAGAACUACAGAACAAUGACAAAGACUCAAACUUUGACAAGUAGAAAACGUUUCUAUUACUUUAAAAUGAUCAAGGGUGUUUUACAAUGAGACUAAUGAUCAGCUUAUAUAGGGCGGAGUACAACGUUCUAAGACUUCAAAGAAAGAAACAAAACAUUAAUGAAAAUAUUGGACAUUAAAUGUAAAAUCGGUCCAAGUAAGGCAAAUGAGGUGUGCCUUGUAUCUUGUCAACUUGGAGAGGAAGUUGUGACGUCUUGGAAGCUUCUGGAGGGUCUCAAGAUUCUCACACAAACGCACAAACAAAGAAGGAAAGAGUUGUUGCAAGUUGAUCUCCUUCGGCUCCAUAUAUGGCAAGUAAUAACUCUGCGGGUUCUUUUGUGGUAAGGUGUACCAAAGUUUGUGUGGUACAUGUCUUGUGUAGCCUAGAUGUUCUCCUGGUUUCCAUGUGUAGCUUGAGAUGCGUCCAAGUGUAGAAUAAGGAAGAUUUCCUUGUUUGGCUUCAUUUGACGCAGUACUUCAGAAAGUAGUUCAGCGAGUAGUUCAGCAAGUAGUGCAGCCGGUCUGUCAGCAAGUACAUCAGCUAUAUGUACUUGUAACAUCUUCGAAUCAAUUGCUUGGUAAAUGAUUCCUUGAUGACUUGAUGUUGCCUCGUUAAAAACCUUUCUAGGUAAACCCAUUGGGACAAACCCUAGAUAAGGGAAAAAGAGUGCAACGGUCAAAUUCCCAUAACAUGGUGAUUCGGCUCGCUGGUCUUUGAUUCCUAUUGAACCAUCAUUAGUCUUCUUAGGGUUAAUUUUCUGGUGAAUAAUUAACCCUAGGCCUUGCGCUUGAUUAUGACUCCAUUUGGGCAAGAAUCCUCCAAAAUGCUCCAUAUCAACCGGUUUGAUACAUGUACCGGUUGGUUUGGUAUACUCCCGGUUUGGUUUGAUUUGGAUGUCCGCAUCACAUAGCAUAUGGAGCUUAUGAGAAUUUGUGUGACGAGUGUUAUUUGUGGUGGUUGGCAAGGAAGGUAUGUCAAAUGCUGUAAACACAUUCUCAAUAAAUUUUCUCGUUGAUGUAUUUUCAUAUUAUGUUAUCAUUAUGCGGAUGUAAUUUGUUGUUAUUGUUUCCUUGUAUAAUUAGAUUGCUGCAUCUACUAGCCAUAAAUUAGAAUAUUUUAUAAUUAAUGUAUUUUAACAUUCGGUAAAAUUUAGAUGUAUAAUAUUAAGUAUUGUAUUAUAAAAUAUCUUUGGGUUUGUAACCAGGGGUGUGUUGAUAUAAUCAAGUUUGGGGAUAUGGUUGGGAUAAUUGUUGGGAGGAGAGGAGAAGUACAAAGUGAAUACUGACUCAUUGAUAUGAUUGGAAUGCAUCUCUACUCAACCACCUAUAUAUUCUCGUUGGACAGAUAAAACGAUAAAUUUAAAAGUUUUGGGGAUAUUAUCACAAUGGACUUUUUAAUUAAUAUAAAAGCUGUUUGGUUUGUUAAAGAUUCUUGUGUUGAAAUGAUUAAGUUGGGGAUUAUGGUUGGGAGUUAUGGUGGGAGGAGAAGAGAAGUUAAAAGUGAGUAUUGGCUCAUUGAUAUGAUUGAAACUUAUGACUAUACAACCCACUUGUAUAUUCAUGUUGGACAGAUAAACAAUUUGACAUGUAUUAAAAAAGUCUAAAAAGAGUUGAUUCUUUCUACACCUGACGGAAAAACGGUAUUUUCAUACCUUAACUCACUAUGUAUGUUCAAUUCAUACCUCAACUAUACAUGCGUGCAAAUACAUACCCAAACUAACUCAAAAUUCAAAUUCACUAUCUCAUCUUUCUAUUUUGUGCCAAAACAGACAUAUCACGAGACGUCGUUAACGAAACGAUAUAACACAGUAAACGGAACGUUAACGACGUCUCGUGAUAUGUCUGUUUUGGCACAGAAUAUAAAGAUGAGAUAGUGAAUUUGAAUUUUGAGUUAGUUUGGGUAUGUAUUUGCACGCAUAUACAGUUGAGGUAUGAAUCGAACAUACAUAGUGAGUUAAGGUAUGAAAAUACCGUUUUUCCUAACCUGACAGUAGAUUUCUUAGAUUUCUUAAAAAUAUAAAAGCAAAGAUAUUAUUUGAUAUCUCACAAUACGAUCUGACAAAAGUAGAUGCUUUUCUUCAUUUUAAUAUAAAACGAUAUGAGUCUUUCUUCGACUAACACUAAUAAUGACUAAGUGUGUAAGAACAAGUUGUUAAGUUGCUUUUAAGAUAGAAAAAUUCCAAAAAAAAAAGAGACAAGGUUGCAUGACAAAAAGAAUAAAACGAAGGAGAUGCGUAAAUCUGGUAGGGGAGUUUGGCAACAACUCAACAAUGACUAAGUCUGUAAGACCAAGUUUAUCUACAAUGUGCAUAAAAUAUCAGAAUAUAACUGGUAUUUGAUCAUUAAAUUGUUGUACGGUACGUUAAUCUUACUAUGAGACAUAAUAAAAUAAUUAAACACUACUUCCCAAAUUUUACAUAAUUAUACAAUCAGACAUAAGGAACUAAUACUAGUUUGUUACAAAAUGUUACAUAGUUAUACAAUAACAUAACUUUGAAUAAUAAUUAUUUUACAUUAAAGCUUAAAGCAAUUCAAGUACUUCUAGAGAAGUUCACAGAUACGUAAUGCUGCAUUGAAGAUGUAAUAUUCUUCGCAAUAAUAUUCGUGACCAUGCCAAUAAGCACAAUCAGGUAUGCCUAUUCUCCUAGAAUCACUACAGGAAAAAGGGGUAUUAAUAGCACUUCAUUAUAGCGGUUUAUGUGUUUCUGCUAUAGUCGACUUAUACAUGAUUUGUUUAUAGCGUUUCUAAAAUAAAAAACGCUAUGGUAUGUUAACGAUAAAAAACUAAUUCGUUCAGUCUUAAUUUUUAGUUCUCGAGUUACUUAGUAAUAGCCCAUACUAUUGUAAAACGACAUCGUAAAUUAACACGAAUAAGAAAAUUUCACUGUCGCCUAAACUAUUAAGAAAAUUUAUCUAAAAUUUCAUUGUCCGCCUAAGUAAUAAAAAAAUUCCCAAAACAUAUAUAACCUAACACCUAAACGAUACAGAGUCUUAUCGCCUUCCUUCGAAUUAACACAUCUCAUUCCAAUAAUCAUCAUCUUCCUCUUCUCUGAGAAACACCACAACACAAAACCUCCCAAAUCCGAUGACCUAGUCGAGCUCUCUCUUCCGAGUACCUUUCAUUCUCUUCCCGACGCAACAAUCCGGCUUCAGUUCUUCGAAUUCCGUUACGAGUCAUGAUGCAAACACUCCUGAAGAUUCUGAAAGCCAUAGAAGACCAUUCGCAUCUUCUGUACUCUAGCUAAUUCCUUAAACCGCCACCCCGACGAAAUCCUCAUCAAUCGCAACAAGAGGGUGGAAUCGAUCAAGUUCCUAGCGUUGUUCGUAAGGAGGCUAAGACCUAUGACUGCUUGCAAGGUAAAAUGUCUAGAUCCGUUUGAUUUUAGGGUUGAUUCUGCUUUCGUUUAAGUGUUAUUGAAUUUUUGGACUCUGAAAUUUGGUUUGUAGGGUUUCAGGUUUGUCAUUUAUCAGGAAGAACUAGAUAUGGUAUGGGAACAUAUUUUCAUCCAAGAUCCGUGAAGAAUACCCAGGUCAAAUGAUGCUUACAUUCUCAGUGUGUUUCCUUCAGCUAAGGUUAAUAAUAGUAGAGUCUCUGAUUUUUCGAUUUAUUGAGUCGUACAAUAUUCAUUAUCAUUAUCUAAUGUGACAUAUCUAUUGUCGCGGGUGAUGACAUAGCGUUUUUAUUAACGCUAUCGUAUCAUUAGAUAGCGUUAAAAAUACUCGUUUUUCUUGUAGUGAAUAAGCAAACUCCCAAAUGGGGCCAAAUGUAUCCUCACCAGGCGGGUCAAAUGACAAUAGUGUGUCAAUUAAAGCUUCACAUUCAUCAUCUAAAUCGGGAGAGUAAUUAUCGAACCAAAGACGACUACCUAAGUUUUCGAAAAUGGUGUCGAAAGUAGCCCCAUCAAUAUCAUCCCUCCCAGCACACAUUUGAAACAUGGCAUAGGACACAGUAGCGUGCUCAUUUGUAGGCACGAGUUGGUUAAGCAAAGCAAGGGAACCGUGGAUAUCACCUUCUCGGGUUAUUAGACUUAGAGAUUCAUAAUAAAUUACCUUAGCAUUCUCUAAUUCCAAACAACGUUUAAAGAAGGUUCUACUAAUCUCUACUUCCAAACAACGUGUAAAGAAGGAUCUACUAACCCCACCUGGAUAUAUGUUGACCAGGUCAACACAUAGAGGAUUUAUGUUUGCUGAUUGAAGAAUAUCUCCAGAUAACGCAAUGUCCCUCCCUCGUUUGUUUGUGAGCAUUAGCGGAGCUAGGUGAUUAGCGUCUUCAUCUCCAAGCUUCUUUACUAUGAUAUGGAAUAUAUCAUCUGGUAAAUCAGAUAAAGACAUUACUUUGAGUUAUGUGAAGCAAGAGAAAGGUUGAAAAACGAGGUGGAUGAGUAGGAAAAGAAAUCGGGAGGAAUCUAGUUAUUUUUUGGUCAUAUUUAUAGAAAACUAAUUUAAAGGGAGACUUCUACCCUUUGACCUAACCCUAAUCGAAAUCCUCAUAAAUUAAAUAAACAAAUAUAUUAGAAACCCAAUCGUAACUAUUUAAAAACAAUAUUUUUUGUGUUUGUAAAAGUACCGUACAGACAAACGGGGUUUGAUAUCUGUACAGUUGAUUUCUGAAUGGAAUAUGUACACUUUAUAUUGAAUUUCAUAUCUGCUGUACAGAAAAUAUCUUGUAUCGAAGAUACCAAUUUGUACAGUCCACAUUUCCCAAGAGGUUGCACAUAUAUAAUGUUGCUCUAUAGAUAUAUGUAUACAGUUAUAAGCGGCUGUACAGAUCUGGCUGUAUAAAUACAAGGUUGCUGUACAGAUACAAAUAAGAAUCAAAACGUGUCAAAUUUUUAAAAAAUAAAACAUGUAAUAAAUAUAUUUGGUCAGAGGAUGCAUUUACUCCCUUUGUUCUGAUCUAGGCGACUUGUACUCCUUCCAUAGUCGGGAAACUAGUCUCCUUAUGCAAGGGCGGUACCGGCAGUUUUUUUAGAGAUGUCUUAAGGCGGAUAACAAGACGGCAAUCUACUAUGAAGGGCUAAGGGUGGUGGCUGAAGGAUGCGACAUCAAGGCGAGUAUUGAUCUUCUAGCUCAGUUGGUAUAGAAAAUAUCUUGUAUUGAAGAUACCAAUCUGUACAGUACACAUUAUCAUCGGUACAGAUAAUCUUCUGUUUUUCUUAUUAACUAUACAUAUAUGCUAUUUGUACAGUUUUCAUGCUGUACAUAAGGGGUUUCGUACAGAGGAUCAACUGGACAGAGACCAAUCUGUACAUCAUAACAUCUGUACAGAUUGUGAUUUGCUAAACUUUCAGAAAUCACAAUUGUUAAAUAUGAUUAAAAAGUUAUAAGUAGCAAAGUAGUAGAUAAACCAAUAAUAUAUAGAACAUUACCUAAUUUAAAUCACAGUACACAAUACACAUAAUAUUCUACCAAUUAAAAUUACAUAUAUAUUAUAUAAAAGUUCAUAAACAAACAACUAGAACUCGUUCUCACAUUCAACAAAAGCAACAUAAGUGUCCAUCGCAUAAACCUUCCUAAUACGAGUGACGACCUCAUCAGUAAGAGCAGACAUCUCAGCGUACUCCAUACCAUGAGCAUGCAUCUCAAGAAACUUGCAUGCUACAGGGCCACAGUCUCCAUCUCCUUUGUUGUUGUACAAUCCAGUUAUACGUGAACAAGUGAAAGACUCAGUCGUGAGGUUGGUAGUUAGAGUAGGGCAGCAAAAUCUCUUCAGAAGCCAAGUAAUGCUAUCCAUGAUUGGGGUCAUUAGAAAGGCCACAACUUCUUUCGGAGUUGAGGACAGAAAGUAGUCUAGAAUUUCAUUGGGACAUCCCCAGUUCAUUUGGACGUAGACAACAUCGACAUGCUUCAGGAAUUCAGAUUUCAUGUGUAUCCCAGUAGAUUUCCUUGUUACAUAUGCCUUGAUUAAUGAACCCCAUUCGAAGUUUUCCUUGUCCUUUCAUUUCAUGAAAUCUUUAUAGUGGGUGGCAACAAGACUUGCAAACCAUGUAUCAAUGAUGGCAACCCUCUUUAGACUGUAUGCUUACGCCCGGCGUCUCACCAGCAUUCCCGUGAUCAGUUGCAUAUGCUGUUCCAUAUAAUAUAACCAAAGUACCCUAAGGAAUAUUAUUAUGCAAGGUGAUGGAGACAUUAAACAUAAAGGGGACUGGAAAACAUUACCUCAGUUGUGACCCAUUUAUCCUUGGUUGGAAUGUCUAAGAAGUGGCCAUUAGUCAGUUUGUGUCCAGUGCAUAUGGUGAAAGAACUGUAAAAAGGAAUUUUAGAUUGUAAUUGAUAAAAGAAAUUACAAUGAUAAGCUGAUGAAAGAAAGAAGGUACAAACCGGUCUGCAUCAUCAUCAAGCAACUCUUUAAACUUCAAAAACUCUCCAUCAUCCAACUGUGGGAGAGGCGUGUAAGCAGGUUCCUUUGUUCGGCUCUUAAACAAAUCACUGAUCCUGGGAUCAACGCUAUACUCAGCAAGGUCGAGGAAGCGGGAGCGUCUAGGAACACGCUUGCGUGGGAGCGGCUGACGAGUUUUUGUUGUCUCAAUAACAAAAUAAGCAGGUGAGGCUGCAACAAUGGAAAUGAGAUUUCUAUAUUUACAGUCAGUUCUUGCAGAAUAUGCACGCGAGUCAGGGAUCACCUAGUACAAAAAUGUGAUUACCAUGGAAAAAACAGUUAUAUAAAUUUUGUAAAUUCAAAAGUGUAUUAGAAAGGGAUCACUUAUUUGAUCCCCACAAUUUAGAUAAAUCAUUACCUGUUCAAAAGGUGUUACCGGAGUAGCAGGAGUUUGUUUAAGAGAACCAGCAACUAUUUUCGCCUCCUUAGUUUCUUUCUGAGGCUCUUCUGCAUUGGAGUCUUCUGCAUUGGAGUUUGGGAUAGGAGAGGCAGGGCUCUCUGCUGGUAUCUUUUGAAAAUUACAAAUGAAACAUAAGAGUGUCAGCAUUGUCUAUAUCCCAGUCACGUAUAACAAUUAAAACAUGACACAGUUUUGAGUAAUCAUUACCUGUGCAGAAGGUGUUAAAGGUGUAGCAGGAGUUUGCUUAGGAGAACCAGCAAAUAAUUCUUCCUCUCCAGUUUCUUUCUCAGGCUCUCCUGCAUUGGUGUCUUCUGCAUUAGAGUUUCGGAUGGGUGAGGCAGGUUUCUCUGCAUGUAUCUUCUAAAAUUUACAAAUCAAACAUAAGAACAUAAGAUUCUCAGUAUUGUCUAUUUACUGGUUACGUAUAACAUAUAAUACAUGACAAAGUAAUACCUGAGAAAUAGAUUUUUAAUUGCAGCCCCAUAAAGAUCCCACGUAUCAUAUGAGGCUUCAAAAUUUACACCAGUUCCACCAUCUUUACCAAUGGGAAUGUCUUUAGGUAAACCAUGUUUCAAACCGGAUGAAGAGCAUCCAGAAGACAAAGAUGUAACCUCUUCUCUUUUACGUUUCCGAGACCCUGGUUUCUCCUUCUUCUUCUUGGCCUUACUUUUUGAUGUCUCCGUCUGAGGAUGAUCUGGCUUACACUGUUGAGACUGACCCCCUAUCAACUUCAAAAUAUCAUCAUUAAUAUUGGAUCGGAGGUCGCGAAGCUGUUGAUAGAUCCAAGCUUUUAAAUCAGACAAGUCAGAUUGGGUAACAAACUGAGAAGAGGAGCUCCCUCCACCUCCCUGCGAAACAUCUUCAUGAUUAGGAAAUUUUUUCCCUGUCUUCUUAGGGGCAGGCUGUGGAACAGUAGUAGCAGCAGCUGAGGUUUGUGGUUUCUCCUUAGCUUUAUGAGAAGCAGUCUUCUUGCGGGAAGGCAGGGGACCAACAAACUCUUCUGUAAUUUUUGCUGAACGCGUGAAGGGCUUUCGAGGGAAAGGGUAGCUCUCAUUUCUCGACCUCUUCGCAGCUUUACUAGGUUCAGAUGUGCCUUGUUCCUCUGCAUCAUCCGAAUGCAGGUCAACAACUUAUGUUCCUUCAGUAUACAAAGGAGCUCCUUCUGUCCCUUGUCCUACCUGUCCUUCCGGUGUCGGAGCUUUCUUGGGUUCAGUUUCUUUUUUCUCUUUGACCACAGUAGGAGAGCAGGGAAUGUCGUUCACAGGCCAUAUCUGAGGCCUGAAGUCGUGCUUUUGGUUGAUCAGAGAGAUAAUCAAAUCGACUCCUGGAUCAACAACUUCAUCAGGCCAAGACAGGUCUUCCUUCAGCAGUUCUGAAUGGUAAAGAGUGUAUUCCACUGACAACUACACAAAAUGCCAGAUAUCUUUGAUGAUGGAAUUACUUAAAAAACAAAUGAGUUAUUCCUCCACACUAAAAAUGAAUCUGGAAUGAGAUUUAAAAUUAAAAAAAACUGACUUACAUUAGGAUUGUAUUCAACCUCAAUAACAUCUAUCUCGCGAAGAAGAAUGGUCAGAGAGAGAUAAACAGAAGGCCUUUGGAUAAAGUUUCUGAAAUCAGCAGGGUCUUCAAUCCUACUACAAAGGGCAGGAAUGGAGUUGAGGACUUGGAGCUGGAGAGCAAGAGGAAACCCGUCACAGCAACUACUUUUUUGUGAAAGUCGGAUCUUCAUCUCUCCAAUAGGAUCUUUCUCAAGCAGUGAAGGACCGAACCGUUCCAUUGUUGCUUCAAAAGCAACCCGCCCCCAUGGGUAACUCAUGAAGAAUACAAUAUCAUGUAGCAUCUCAACAAAAGUCCCACUUACCCGACCAGCUUUUGUGUUGUUGCAAACCACCACCCCAUCUACAAGCACAAUUAAAGCUAGACUCAACUUCUUCCAUGUGGAGAAUCGCUUCUGAGGCUCGGCAUUAUUAUCAUCCCUAAGCAUAUCUAUAACAUCCAUCACUGACACUAUCCUCUUCUCCCCAAAUAGCCGAUUCCAAACAGAUAGAUAUGCAGGGUCUCGGUGAUCUUCUACCUCAGAAUCAGAUGGAAUCUUAUCACAAAUCAGGCCAGUAGUGAUGUGGAAUUCAUGGAGUGAGAAGCGGAGUGGAAACCCUCCAUAUACAGUCCACAAUUCAUCCCUUUUAUGAGUAAGAAGUUGUCUAGCAAGCAUUCCAUGAAUCAACUUUGCAGAAUGAGAACACCUUGCCACAGGUAGUUCAAACACUUUUCUGAAUUAGGAAGCCAGAAGCAAACCCCAUGCCUCAUAACCCUCUAGUAGUUCAACCAGAAUCCCAAGAUAUUCUGGCUUAGAGUAGAUGUUAAGGUGAGCCAGAUCUGGUAACCCAUCAGGAGCCAACAACAAACGGCAAGGGAGGCUAGGGUUUGGAUUGACAUCUUCUCCGGCUGUAUUUUUUGCCGGAGAUUGUGCAGAACCUGAUACAAAUCCUAUUAUUCAUUUCAAAAACUAGCCUAAUCAAAACAAUUGUGAAAGACUGAAUCGAAAUCAGCAAAUGCAGAAAUGAUUUAGGAUUGUAUUACCUCUUUUAUACUCGCUUUUUGUGCCUCGUUUAUACUCUUUUUGGCUUCCUCGUCGAGUGGGUUCUUGAUUCAUAUCGUCGUUUUGCGAUUUUGCAGGAGAUUUGCAUGGAGAAUUAACUGUUCUAGAUACAGAUGUGGCUUCAGAAACGGGUACUUUCAAAACUUAAUCAAUUUUGAAAGAUCUAAAAAUCUCAAAUUUUUAGAUAUAUGUUGCAAACUAGUACGUUUACUCGAUUUCAUUACCUCUUUUUGUGUCAGUUUUCUUGCCUCGCCGAGAGGGUUCUUGUUUGAUACCGAGUGGAAGGGUUUGUUUCUUCGAUUUUAUUGAUUUCUUCUUCGUCAUUUCAGAGAGUUUUGGUCAUAAUAGAGAUUAUCUAAGAGAUAAAGAUGAGAGAACAGAGAAAAUUCGAGACCUCGACAGUUCCGGAGAAAGACGAAACGGUAAUAAAAAAAGGAAAAAGUAAAUGUUGUACUCCAACUUGUCUAAAAAAAAGGGAAAAAUAUCUGUAGUACUUUGAGUGGCAUGAAACCGUAAAUAACUCUGUUUAUGAGUGGUAAAAAGGGUCUCUCAAAAAACUCAAUAGUUCCAACCUGGGGAAAAAACGAAUUGUAAAUAGUGACCGUAUUACUUUUACAAUUAUGUUUCAGAAACGUACUAGUUUCCAAACAAACCCAAAAAAACACGACCGUAAAAAAAUAACCGUACAAUUUUUAAACGAAAAGUUACGAUAAAAAAACGCAACCGUUCAGAGGUGCAAAAUGCAUUUAAUGAGAUUGCUAUUAUAUAUAGAUUAGUCAAUGAUAUUGUUAUUUUAGGCGUUUAUCUACCAUAAUAUUAUGAUGACUUUCUAAAAUUUUGUAUGCAUAAUUAUGUAUAAACAUCAUCGAAGCGAAACAGAAAAAAAAAAAAGGUAUAUCAAUAAGACGAUAAGUUAUUUACAAAUAAAUAAAAUAAAAAUUGUAUAAAAAUCAAGGCACGAGUCUUAAUCUUCGUAGGUGUUGAAUCAAAGUCAAGUUCGCCAUUGAAGAAGUCAUAUAUUGUCAUCAAAGCAGUAAACAAACGUGAAAUGAGGAUAAACAAUUGAUGAAAUCAUGGAGAAGGCACACAUAAUACAGCAUGGCUAAGUGAAUAUUAUAUUAUUCAAACGUAGUUGAUCGUACUGAUUUUGAGUAUAAUAACAUCGAAUAUAGAUUCAAUUAUUGUGAUGCGUUGCGUAUUGCUUUACUUUACAUAAAUUAAAUUAACAAGGUUCUUGUCAGUUCUAGUCGGUGGCCAUAACUUGAAUGUACAACAACCUAAGAUUUAAUACAGUUACAAAAAUAAGUGUACUUUGUAGUGAACCACUCACAAAUUAGUUUUUUAAAAAAAUUUUCUUGUGUGCGAAAUGCCACACCCAAAUUAGUAAGAAAAGAUUUGUAGUAUAUUUUGACUGAAACAUUAGAGUAAGUAAUUUCAGUAUAAAAGUUUUUUAAAUACAGGUCAAUUCAUUUUAAACAUCUCAAAUAAAUUUAUUAUAAACAUCCGUUAAUAGAUUUUUUAAUUCAUCAUUCAUUAAAUCUAUAUUUUAUGUAUUAGCUUGUUAAAUAUGUGUGUAUUUUCUAUAAACGUUAGAUAUUUAACGUUUUGUUUUUUCUUAAACAACCUGAAUAUCAUAUGCAUCUAAUGGGUCUGAUUGGUAUCAAAAACUGUACAAGUUUUUUAGCUGUUAGCUGGAGCUGUAAGCUUUACCGGAAUAGUGCAAAACUGUAAAAAAGAGCUGUACAAAAACGUUGUACAAAAAAAGCUGAUAGUAAAACUGUUAGUAACGCUUUUGAUAAAGUUUUUGUGAUUGGUAACUGUCAAAGUUGUACACCCUAUCCCGCUUUGAUAAUGGGUUACCAUUCAAAACCAAUAUCAAUUUAAAAUCUGAAAAUUUUAUGAAGUCUAAAUUGUCAUCCGUCAUGUUUUUUUUUAUAUAUAUCAGAUGCAUUUAGUUUUAUAAAAUUUACAUCAAAUUUUUAAUUUUUAUCGUUUUAAGCAAUUUAAUAGGUAAUAGAUUUAUUGAUCAUUUAUAUUUUAAUCGAUUAUACAGAUCUUCUUUUUUGUCUAAAAAAACUACGCGUACAUUUAACAGCGAUCGUUUAAAAUUUUAAAGGUACAAUAUCCAAGAAAUUUGUAUUAUUGAGACGAAUGUUUAAGACGAAAAAUAUAUGUCACAAAUUUGUGACAUUUAGACAUAAUGCUUUUUUUGUUAACGAAUAUGGUAUUAGAGAAUUUUCUUUUAUUUGCCAUCUUUACUUGAAAUGUAAUAUGAUUUAUCAAUACUUUCAGAGAUUUUUCAAUAAAAUUCAUAUAUUUGAUACUGAUACCUAUGUGUAUGCUACUAAAAUUUUGGGGAUUGAUUUCAAAGUGGCUUUUGAGUUUAUUUUUUAAAACAGUUAUAUACAAACCUAAUUUUAGAUUUAAAAAACAAAUAAGGAAGUAGAAUUUCAAAAUUCAUAUUAACAUCACAAGACUACUAAAAAGAGUGAUAAGAAAAAGAAAAAAUAAAGGAAUGCUAAUAAAGACAACAAGAGGAUAACAAAAAGAAACUUCAAUAUUCCUAUUAAUAAUUACAAGCACAAUUUCAAAAUAAACAAUUAAAACUUGUGGAAGCCAUCUUGGUCCAUUGGUUGACCAAGGAUUUAUUAAUGCUUCUACACCAAGAGGUCUGGGGUUCGAGUCCCAGGUAUUGCGAUUUAUUAAUAAAUUUGUAGAUUAAUGGAGGCAAGUGUGCAAGAGAUUUCCAGCGAUGUACAAUUAUAGCCGUUCGCCAGGAUUCUACGCAGAGAAGAAAGUAUCGCCAGGUCGUGGAUCAUUGAAGGUAUUCAUCAAAAUUACAAAGAAAGGAAGUGUAGUAUGUCGUGGAUCUAGUAAGGGUCAGAAGGAAUUGUCAGUUGUAGAAUCGUCUAUGUAACAGUUCUCAUAAUUUGCAAUUAAUAAUAAAUCUAGACGACAAAAAAAAACAAUUAAAACUUAUACCUAACGAAGAAUUAAUACUUUAUUCUUGAAGUUUGAACGAAAGUAAAUAAACUUUAUUUACUCAAAGAGAAAAAUAAAAAUUCUCUGUUCCUUCUCCCAAAUCAAACAAGUGACUUUUUAUACUUAUCUUAAUUCUGUAGUCUCGAGAUUCGCUUUUUCUCCUGCUAACUUCUUUUUAUCAUCUUCCUUUGUCGGUUUGAUUUGGAAAAACUUUCUGCAACUAAAAAAAAAAAAAGAAGAUAGAUUCUUAAACUUUUUAUCUCAAGAUCCUUUCAAAAAAACUAAAAAGAGAAGAUUUUAAUUAAUAACAAUGGUUGAAACUGGUCACCAUCAACAUCCACCGGCACCGGCUGCAGCCGGUCAUCCGCCGGUUCCAUCCAUGGCGAUGGCCGUUAACAGAGGACCCACUUGGCCACCGGCGGAGCAACUUCAUCAUCUUCAAUAUUGCAUCCACUCUAAUCCUUCUUGGCGUUAGUCUCUCUUUGCUUCCACUACUUUCUUGAUUUCUUUAAUUUUGAUUCAGAUGUAAAAAAUAAUUUUUUUAAAAGUCAAAAGUUACAUGAGUUCACUUCUGUCUCUCUCCUUAUAUGCUUUAUGUUGUGUCUUAAUUUGUUUCCCAAAAGAAUAUUUUAGAUCUCAGAAUCUGAUUCGAUUCUUUAUAUUUCCUCUGUUUUUGACUUCUAUUUUAGCUUAUGUUUGAUCUAAUUAGAUUUACAAAUAUUUAUAGAUGUUGUAUAAUUGUUCUUGAGACAUACUAACUGAUUAAGAUUAAAAUAAUAUGGUUAUCACUAGUUUAUGGAGUUGGUGAAUCCAAAUUGCUAUAAAAGUUGAAUCAUUAGCAGUUAUAAGUGUGGGGUUGGGUUUAUGCCAACACUGGUCAUGGAAAAUGAAAUGCAAUUAGUGUGUUACCAUUACAAGAAAUGUCAUUUUAAGGGAUUUUGUAACAUGGUGGAGAUUGUAUUAUUCUUUCCAUUUUAAGAACUGAUUUGUUUCAUUUUCAUUAACAAUGAAUCUUUCGGAUUACGUUACAGAUGAGACGGUUGUACUGGCUUUCCAGCAUUACAUCGUUAUGCUCGGGACUACUGUUUUGAUUGCCAACACACUAGUGCCACCAAUGGGUGGAGAUGCUGUAUGUUUUGUUUUUUGGUUUUUGGAUCCGGUUGUCGAAUAUUUAUUUUAUUAUAUGAUUCUGAAAUCGACCGUUUGGUAUUUUGAACGAUAACAGGGUGAUAAAGCGCGGGUUAUCCAGACUAUAUUGUUUAUGUCGGGAAUUAACACGUUGCUACAAACGCUUAUAGGGACAAGGCUUCCAACGGUUAUGGGAGUUUCGUUCGCGUAUGUUCUUCCUGUAUUGUCUAUAAUCAGAGACUACAAUGAUGGUCAAUUUGAUUCCGAGAAACAGGUUAAAGCUCAUUUAAUACGUGCGCGCUACGUUUUCUUGUUUUUAACUAGACAAAUGCCAUUUUCCUUAUAGAGAUUCCGACAUACUAUGAGAACCGUUCAAGGAUCACUAAUCAUUUCUUCAUUCGUCAACAUCAUAAUCGGAUAUGGUCAGGCAUGGGGGAACUUAAUAAGGUAAUAUAUAAAAAAAAUUCAAUAUAAUUUUGCUGGUUUAGAAGCUAAUGAAAGUUCUAACAUUUAAUGAACUUGGUUUCUUUAAUGCAGAAUCUUUACUCCCAUCAUUGUUGUACCAGUUGUUUCCGUUGUGAGCCUUGGCCUGUCCUAGAGGCUUCCCAUUGGUAACAAUUUCAUAUAAAAUUUCAGCUUUAGCAACUUUGAACGACUUUCCUAAGUCAUUAUGUGAUCUUUUGGGCUUUUUACAGCUUGCAAACUGUGUUGGAAAUCGGUCUACCAAUGCUGAUUUUGUUGAUCAUCUCACAGCAAGUUCGGCUACUUUUUUUGUUUUCGUACUAUAUACGUUAGUGAUUGUUUAGAUGUAUAAUAUUGAAUCUUGCUGUCCAUCUUGCAGUAUCUUAAAAGUGUCUUCUCAAGGAUUUCUGCGAUACUUGAAAGAUAUGCUUUACUUGUUUGCCUGGCUAUCAUAUGGGCUUUUGCUGCUAUCCUUACUGUUUCUGGUGCGUAUAACAAUGUUUCUACUGCGACAAAACAAAGUUGUCGCACGGAUCGUGCCUUUCUUAUGUCAACAGCUCCCUGGUAGGUUGAUUAAUGACUGUUUUUUCUUGAUUUUUCUUUUCUUCUGAGGCUAAAUAUCUGUAUAGUCAGUGACUCAAACUCAUUUUGCAGGAUUAGAAUCCCAUAUCCUUUCCAGUGGGGGACUCCGAUAUUUAAAGCUAGUCAUGUUUUUGGAAUGUUUGGUGCUGCGAUUGUCGCAUCUGCAGAGGUACAAAUUUAUGACCUGUAAUUAAUAUACAUCAGUAUUAGUUUCUAGCUACAGAUUGUUCUUAUAUUAUGCACAUCCCAUUUUUCUAGUCUACCGGUGUAUUUUUCGCUGCAUCUAGACUAGCAGGAGCAACAGCGCCUCCAGCACACGUUGUUUCUCGUAGUAUCGGGCUACAGGUUUUAUUCCCAGACAUUAAGAUAGUCUUUUUAUCUUUUCAUUUUCUGUCGCUCUUCUAAUGUUCUGAAUACGGCUAUAAGUUGUUAUAUUUUCCUUAUAGGGUAUUGGUGUGCUCCUUGAAGGAAUAUUUGGUUCCAUUAGUGGCAAUACCGCUUCGGUGUAAGUUCUAAGUACCUCUCUUCGCUACAUGUUCUACUAUCCUUUCAGAAUAUCUACAAAGGAAGUAUUUCUCAUCUUGAUGAUAUAUAUACAGGGAAAAUGUCGGUCUCCUUGGCCUCACACGAAUAGGGAGUAGACGAGUGGUGCAGAUUUCAACGGGUUUCAUGAUAUUUUUCUCCAUAUUUGGUUAGUCUUUCAACCCCCAAUCAGUCAUCUUGACUAAGUUCAGUUUAUAGAAAGUAGCCGUUCUUGGCUUUAAAUCCUCGUGUUUUCAACAAUUUUCAGGAAAAUUCGGCGCCUUCUUUGCGUCUAUCCCGCUUCCAAUCUUCGCAGGCAUAUACUGUAUACUACUUGGAAUUGUUGGUGAGUAGCAUUUUCUCUAUGAAUCUACACUUCUUGAUUUCUCGCAAAAGUCGGGGAUGCUUAAUUCUGAUACUAUUGUUAUGUGAUUGGCGCAGUUGCUGUUGGAAUAUCGUUUAUACAGUUUACUGACACCAAUUCAAUGAGAAACAUGUACGUCAUCGGUGUCUCUCUCUUUUUAAGUCUUUCCAUCGCUCAGUACUUUCUUGCCAACACUUCAAGAGCAGGAUAUGGACCGGUUAGAACAGCAGGUGGAUGGGUAAGCAUUUCAAAAAAUCAUUGUUUUAAACACCAAUUAACUGUAGUAUAUAAUGUUUAUUUUUCUUAAUAUGAUGUCGUGGUGACUUGUGGUGCAGUUCAACGAUAUACUUAACACGAUAUUUGCUUCGGCUCCUUUGGUGGCAACCAUUCUUGCGACCAUACUAGAUAACACGUUGGAAGCAAGACAUGCAAGUGAGGCAAGAGGAAUCUCAUGGUGGAAGCCCUUCCAGCACAGGAACGGAGACACCAGGAACGAUGAGUUCUAUAGUAUGCCCCUUAGAAUCAACGAGUUAAUACCGACGCGGUUCCUUUGAAACCCCUGAACGUUUCUUCUGUGUUUGGAAAUGUAAGAUAUGUGCAUAUCUUGUAGCUUCAUUGGGGAAAGAUUGAGUCCAAUGGAUACAAAAUGAACAUAGGCCUUUGAUGGAGAAAGCUAUUUUACAAACUAUAACUUGUGUUACUAGAUUUUACUUUACCUUUCCUAUCAUUAACUUUACCUUUUGGACAAGUGUUCAUACUUCAUAUACAAACUUACAUUAUUCUUUUUCCAUUCAUUAUCUUAAGUCUCGCGUGUUAGAUUCAAUCACUGUGGUUAUAUUAUGGAUAGCCUUUUUUCUUGUAUCCAAGAAAAACAAGUAUAUAUUUGAAGAAUGCUUACUGAAUUAGGUAAUCAUGUCUUAUUAGACAACCACACUAUUUAUUAUUACUGUUAUUACUAGAUAAAAACCUACGCUACGGCGGUAGUUAACUCUCUAGGCGGUAGUCGGGCGGCGGAUCACUGUAUAGCGCCUAACUGUAUAUGCGGCUGUGUAUGUUGGUAUAUAUGGUAAAUAUAUUUUUACAAUUAUAUAUAUAUAUAUAUAUAUAAAUGAUUGCAGGAUCCCAAACAUUGCAGGAGCCUCAAUCGGAUUUAAACUAACGGAGCGUCAAUCGGAAUUGAACUCAAGCAUUUAUGAUCGUUGCUUUCGGAUCAAGUAAUAGCUGAAACUGAUCAAAUCUGAAAACCUAAAAAGCAGUUCUGAGUGGGCUUCUUCAAGGCGACGUUUGGAGGUUUAAAAGUAAUCAGAUCGAGUUGAAACUUUGUGGAGGUUUUAAUGGUACUGCAAGCUAAGAAUUCAACAGUGGGAUUACAUUUGCAACUGUUAGCUCCUUGUUUAUUAGUGUGUUUCCGAGACUUUUUGCGUAGAAUAAAUUGUGAGUUUGGAUUGUUGUUUGGGUAAACGAGCUUGGCUUGAGCCCAAACAUUGCAGGAGCCUUUAAGACUCUUAUAAUUAUGUUUUGGUUGAUAGAGAGCCAAGGUGAAGUUCAAUAGUAUGUGGUUGAGGCAAGGUAGUAAUUUGUUUAAAGGAGAAAGGAGAAGAGACUAGUUCUUCAUCUUCAAUUAGGCUAAAGUGACAGUAGUAUUUGUGGAUCCGCAUUAACCCCUUUCCUUAUAUACUCUUCGACAGUUGCUGAGUAUAGGCUCGAGAAUUGUCUUUGUUGAUUUAUGUGAAUUUUUGUGUAUGAUAAAGCUAAGUUGUUAAUAAUAUGAUAUGUGAAAUACAUUAGUGACAUGAUUUGAUAUCAUGUUUUACGUAUAUUAAAUUAUAAAAUGAUUAUGUCUAUGUAUGAGAAGAGAAAACUAAAGAGUAUGAGAAGGAUACUUGAGGAUGUUGGAGUGUAGUGGACCGACGAGUUCAUUGCAGGUCAUUAACCGCUGACGAGCAGGGGAAGAAUCGAGCUUCGGGCCGUGGUCUUCCAUAAGUAGGUUUGAGUAGCCAUAAGUUAUAAAAAGCUUGAAUAUCCAUAAGUUAAAAUACUUGAAACUAAAAAUGUAAGUAAAAUAUCUUGUUGUGAGCAAGGCGAAUGCUUGUUUGUUUGAUUGAUACCAGUAUUCUAAAAUACGCUAAGCGGUAGUCGGGCGGCGGAUCACCGUAUAGCGCCUAACUGUAUAUGCAGCUGUAUAUGCUGGGUAUAUACGGUAAAUAUAUUUUUAUAAUUGUAUAUAUAUAAUAUAUAAAUAUAUUGCAAGUAUAUAUAAUAUCAUUAAAAAAAAAUUGUUUGAGUGAAAAGCUCUAAACAAACAAUUGUCAAAAGAAACUAAAAUUCUACAUGACACUAAAAUAUAAAAUAAAAGAAGUAUCACAUUAAACUCUAACUCUCAAGAAAAUAAAAACAUAAUGACAAUUGUAUUUGUAUAAGCGGCACCGUAUACACGGCUGUAUUGAGCCAUAUAAUGUCGUAUAGCUACCGUAUAUACGGCCACCUAGGGCGUAUUUUAGAACACUGAUUGAUAGACAUUUUGAAUCUGUGCUAAGUAAUGGUUGUUGACUAUGUUUGGAACGUGUUUAUUGUAUGUCCAGUUGGCAAAGUUGAUCUCUUCACUGAGUAAACCUGUUUUACUUACUCUUUUUCCUCUUUUUCUCCAGCUUAGUAAAUUUCAAGAAGUUUUAAGUUUGUUUGUUGGUAAAAUUUUAAGAAAGAAACGUUUUGGUAAGACCAGAUAAAUAAAAUUCAGUUAUGUCCUUUACAGCCGGACGGAUAUUAUAUUUUGCCUCCCUAACGGUGUUGUGGAACUCUCAUGUUGUAGUUUCACUCAUCUUCGCUAAGGAAAGUACUUCAGCCGACUGCUUAGCUUUGACAGCCCUUGUGGCUCUUUCCAUUUCCUCCUCUCUUGGAGUGUAAAACAUUGUUACUUUUAAUCAAGUUCAUUUUGCCCAGAAAAAAACGAAGGUAUCCAACCAAUAAAAUUUCUAGAGUGGAGUCACGCGCCACAAGAGAGAGUAGGGAAAGAAGCUAACACAACUAAGCUUAGUGGAUGCCACUUAACACAAAUGACAACGUUGUUUUCCAAUUUCCAUGUUUACGCUAUAGCUUCAGACAGUACCUGAAAAAGUGAGUUCGCCCAAAGACCAAAAUUAAACAAAAAUAACCAAAACUUACUCUCAUUUCUUUAUUAAAUUAAGGUAAAAUAUCAAUAUCCUUAAUUACUAAGAUUUUUUUUUGAAAUAGUGUUGUCGUUCUCGGUCCAAAUUUCAAAUUUUGACCUGAAGUCUCUUGUUUUUCUGAUAGAUUCUCCAGCUCUUGUCCUUUUUAACAGACCCUUAGGCCUCUCUCCUGCAGGUUAAUGCACUGUCUUCACCAUUUUCAUUUAUUUUCCCCUUAAAAAUAAAAUAAAUAUUAAAUAUUUUCUCAAAAUUCACCAUUUAAGAAGGCAAAUUUGAGAUCUUUCUUCUUCACAUUAACUUGAGUGUCUCUCCUUCUUCUAUUAACAAUGGCGUCAAUGCCAUUGUACUGGCAACCACCACCAGCUACGGAGGUUCCACAAGACUCAUCCUCCGUCUCCUCCGCCGGAAACUCCACCAUUGGUCCUUUUAUCGCCGUUUUUAUCGUCGUCACCGUUCUCUGUGUUCUUGCAAGUGUUAUUGGACGGCUUUGCUCCGGCAAAACCAUCUUAGGGUAUGGAGAUUACGAUAUGGAGAGAUGGGCUGAGAGUAGAUGCGGUUCUUGUAUCGACGGCCACAUCAUUCCUCACCGGCCGUCUCCGUCGCCUCCGCCUCGUCAGCCUUUGCACCACACUUCUUCCGGCGUCUCUGCUGAAUCUGAGGGACACGUGGCAGAUCUAGAUGAGACUGAUGGAGAGAAACAAGACUCUUUAGACCAUGAGCCUCCACCACAAACACCAUCAUCAGCUCAUUCUUGAUUAGUUUUUCUCUUUUGAUUCUUUUUUUUUUUUGUGUUGGUUAAAAGUUAGCCAAUGUAAUUGAAAAUUUCACGAGUUCGAUCCCAAAGCGGUCAAAGUUAUUGAAAAUGGCGCUCUAGAUUUUGUUUUUUUUUUCUUUAUGCACUUUUUAUCUUUUAGUAUUUGUGUUUUAUACCGAAGAUAAAAGAAAAUUCAGAGGAUAAAAGUAAUGAAGGGACGUAUAUAAAGAGAAUAAUACACGGCUUGCUUAAAGUGCUUUUUUUCCUUAUUGAUUCUGAUUACGUUUGAUGCACCCAAAUAACAGGAUAGAGCAAUGGGUACAAAUAAUAAAUCAAGGAAAUAUUUAAUAAGUACUAUUGUUUAAGUUGGAUUUGUAGCCGUUAAAUCAUUACUUCCAUUUUCUUAUUUGAUUCUCGAGAAAAUUAGCACUAAUACCACAUUUUCUUCAAAUUCUUUCAAAUCUACCACUUCUCCCUUCUCUUUUUCAAAUCUACCAUAUUGCUAAACAAAAUAACCAAUUUACCCUCAAAUCUAUUUUUCUUACUUUAUAUUAUUAUAUUAUUCCUUUAUUUUUUUUAUUUUUUUUCUAUAUUUCUUCUUCUCUCUCUAAAUAUAUUACAUCUAUCUUUCUUCUUUUCCCUUGAAUCAUACAAUUAAAAUAAUUCCCCAAAAGGCAAAUAAACGAUCUGAACUUGUCUCCGAUCUACUAUUACUCAUUCGAUUGGAACUUGUCCCCGAUCCAAUUUUACUACUCAUUCAAUCUGAAUUUGUCCUCGAUAUAAUUCUAUUAUUCAUUCGAUUGGAACUUAUCCCCGAUCUAAUUUUACUACUCAUCAUUCAAUCUAAAUUUAUCCCCGAUAAAGUGGUAUUAUUGAUAGUUUUCCCUAAUAAUGAUAAGUAAUACCUUUAUCGAGGACAAGUUCAGAUAGAAUGAGUAAUAGAAUUACAUCGAGAACAAGUUAUGUUCUCUUUAUAUAAUCCUUUUUAAAUUCAACACUAUGUUAAAUUCGGGGACACCUAGAUAUGAUGGUUGUCGUUUUAUUCGCAAGAGAUCUGAACUUAUUCUUGGGGGACAUCAUUCACUUUAAUUCAUAAUUAUUGUCCAUGGUAAAUGUAAACUGCAUUUAAUGCAAUGUUUUGUCCUUCUUCUCUGACACAAAGCUGUCAUUCUGACACAAAGGUGUCCAGCGUCUAUUGUAGCUCCUUCUUCUGACACAUUCCUGACGCAGGCAGAAGGGUAAAAUCGUCCAAGCUCUACCACACUACCACACACAAGUGGUACAGCUGCUAAAUUGAUUUCUAUUGUGGUACAUUUGCUAGGGAUUUUGAAAAUUGUGGUAGAUUUGCCAAAAAUCCCUUGAUUCUUUUAGUUUUUUUCUUUUUUUUUUUUAUGAGAUUUUUGCUCCAUCUUCUUCUAGGCCAAUAUUCCUUGCAAUUUUGAUGUGUUAGAAUCGAACAUACCUCAUGUCCUUUUUGAAUAUCCGCCUGCACGCCAGACAUGGGCUUUAUCACAGAUUCCAACGGCCUCUGAAGUUUUUCCUUCAGGUUCACUAUAUGCAAACAUGGAUUACUUAUUUUGCCGGAUAUCAUCGAAUGUUUAUCAUAGAAAUGAUAAAGUGUAUAAUAACGUGGAUCAAAGUCCCCCUGAAAUUUUACGGUUAGCAGAGAAUGAAGAGCAAGCUUGGCAGUUAGCUCAGGGGGAAAUAACGGAUGACGUUUUAGACUCGGUCGGGGGGACUACCUAUUCACACUCCAUAAAUGACGUUCCAGUGCAAUCCGGGAAUGGGUUUCGGUGUUUUGUAGAUGGGUCAUGGAAAGAGAGUGAUCGAUUUUCCGGGUUAUGAUGGUUUUGUUCUAGCCCGAAUGAUGGAACGCAAGAUAUGGGAGCUGCUAAUCUUCGAAGAAGCUUAACCUCACUUCACAUAGAGGUCGAAGCAUUAAUUUGGGCGAUGAGAUGUAUGAUCGACCAAGACAAGAGAGAAGUAGCUUUCCUUACAGACUGCUCCGACCUGGUGAAGAUGGUGUCUUCCCCGCAAGAUUGGCCAGCGUUCGCAACCUACCUAGAGGCGAUUCAGAGUGACAAGGAAGAGUUCGACGUAUUCUCAUUAUCUUUAGUUUCUCAAAAUGGGAAUGGAAAGCGGAUAAACUGGCUCGAACUGUACGUACCCAACCGCAUCUUAUCACCUAUGUAAACAAUUUCCUCAACAUUGACUUAUUUGAGCCAAUCUAAUAUAGCGGUUGACAAAAAAAAAAUCGAACAUACCAAGAUUGUUACACAUUUUCUAUAUUACAAAUACAGGUUUUGUAAAAAUGUCAACCAAUUGUGAGGUCUUUAAUAAAGUGAUAAUUAACUUCUAUAUGGUAGUUUUUUCCAGUGAACAUCAGGUUAGAAGCAAUAUAAAUUGCAGUUUGAUUAUUACUGUUUACAAAGUGAUCUAUAAGCCAUGAUUAAAUUGGUUAAGAUCUUCAAAAGAGACAAAUGUAGAUAUUGAAGCACAUCAUUUCUUCUUACUUUUCUAAUACAUUCUCUAUAGAAGCAAAACAAAAUUAAAUGUUUCUCUUAAUGCUAGAAUUGAUUUUUCUAAUUAAAAUCUAGAGCAUGAACAUUUUGUGUCCAGAGGUGUUCAAUAAAAUAUCAAAGUUUUCAUACCUAACCAAUAAGAAUAGAUUUGGGUGAUUUGAAUUUCAUGUUUUUUUAUUGCCUAAUUGCAAAUGGAAGUUUGAUCUAAUUAGGUUGUCAAUAGAAGGAAUAUGAUUAUGGAAAUGAGUUAAUUUAUUCAUGUUUUGGAGUUGACUAAGAUCAAGUCUAGAGGAAUGGCACAAGUGCAUACACCAAAAGAGAAGAGUGGAAGAACGAUGGAUGACCUCGACUGAUCUGGCUGAAGUGAAUGGAUGCAUGCCCACCACCAUCAGUGGAUAAAUCAAACUUUGAGAUCAAGCCGCUGUUCAUUACCAUCUUGCCACACAUGUCAUUCCGCUAAGGCCUUAUGGAAGAUCAGAACAUAUAUCUUCAAGGGUUGAUAUCUAAAACACAUUCCACAUUAAAAAGGUAUGGGUAUAGUUUCAUCGGGUCAAGUAGGUUUAAGGUCAAUGAACCGGGUCGUCGCUAGAGUUAGGCCAAAGCUGGGCCAAAAAUGAAAUCAAGACAUGGGCUUAAGCCCAUAAGGUGUUAUGUGGUUUUCUAUUACAAAAGAAAAAAUAAAAUUCAAAUCAAUUUCUAAGUUGGAAUAGUUGGUCUUACAAAUUCUAUAUAAGCAAAGGAUUCACAAAUUGAUCAUCACAACAUAAAUAAGCAAUAGAGAGACAAAGUUAGAGAGAGAUAUAGAGAGAAUUUUUGGGUUUAGAGAAUUCUUGAUACGUUUUGUUUUUAAAGAGCUUCACGUUAGGUAGGUUUCUUGUUUGGUUGUUCUUGCGUUGAAGCAAGAGUGAAUAAGUUCCAAGUUUGCUUGAUUCUUCUAGAGGUACCUAUUGGAUAGAAACAAAGUGAGCGUGAGAUAGAGAGAUAAAGAGAAUUGUAUUGAAACUUAUUUUUGGAUUUUUAGUGGCUGUUUGCAAGAGUUGGUCCUCGCACGAGACGUACUCUCCAGUUCAGAGAGAAACUCGUUGAUUCUUGGUGUUGAUAGUUCUUGUUUCCGCAUUCAAACCUAAACUACUAACUAAGGCUAAUUAGUUUAAUUCUUCGCAAAAGGUGAUCAAACCAAUUUUUUUCUACAAAAUCAUGAACCAUUAUCAGCCAUGAUAUGGCACACGUAAAGUAUACAUUCAAGAACAAAUCCACAAAUACAUCCCACCAAAAAAGAUUACGACACAUAGGAACAAGAUUUUAAUACUCAAGAAACAUUUGUUUUGGAUAAAGUAGAUAUUGACUCCUAUUUAAAAUAAUUCUUCUCACCAUCUGCAUACUGUUUCUAUUUCUAUUUAGGAUUUUACUUACCCUAAACUAAAUCAUUGUCGCUUCACCGGAGUUUCGAAGGAAAGAAGAUUUAAACACCACCAUCUAUUUGUUCUGAUUCAAGAUAAUUCAUCUCUCUCCUAUAUCGUAUUUGAUUGGGGUUUAUAGCCUCAGCAAAGGCGGCCAAUAAAACAUCUAUGGUUCCUUCUACAGAUAUAACAGUCUAUAGCUAGUGUCAAAUUAACUCAUGGCAAGUCUUUAGCCUCCAACCAUAUCCUCGGUAAUUUUUUUUAAUUAAAAUAAUAUACAUUAUAAUAUUUGCUUGAACAAAGGUCAGUCUGAUAUCAAAGUAAAUCUUAUGUUUGAUUUUCUGAAGGUUAUGAUCAAGAAAAAUUUCAACACAUUGAUAGUUGUCAUAAACCAGAAUUCAUCAAACAUGGAGGUGUAGAAUUUUUGUUCUUUUACACUGUUUUGGGUCAUUCAGAUCUUGAGUUAGGCUACAUUUCAUAAAUAUUUUCUUAUCUCACACACAUUCUUUAUUAUUUCAUUAUACGUAAUGUCAAAAUCAUUUGAUUGGAAAACGUUUGUUAUUGUAAAUUGCAGACAGAAGAAUCUUUUUGCGUUAUCGAAGAGAGGUGACCAUCAACACCAACUUCUCAAUAUUUUUUAGUAAAGAAAUCAUAUAUACGAAAGUUGGUCAACUCUCUCCAUAUUAGUGACAAAUCAUCACACAAAAAAUGACAUGUGUCAUUCAACAUUAUUUAAAUUAAAAAAUCAGCAAAAUUAAUUAAGGGAAAAUCAAAAGUCUUCUAUUGUGUUAAAUCUUCCAUUAAUCUCAUUCUUACAUGAUUUCUUCAAAAUAAAAAUAAAAUUAUAAGCUUAUUUUCAUAAAUCAAACACUACUUUCAUUUUACUUUUCUUAUUUUUUUUUAAUUUUUUAAUUUAGUGGUCAAUGGUUAUCAUUUGAUAAUAACUAAAUAAUUAUUUUUGUUGUAGUUUAGUUGUUUGCUACUUAAUAUUUUAUUAGUUUAGUAAUUUUACCUUGAAUAUUUUCUCAUUAUUACGUUAUGGUUCAUAUCUUAUUAUAUGACAUUCUCUCUUUUCAUUUUUUUGUCUUAUGGUAAGUUCGUAACGUUGACAUGCAAAUUUUUUCAAGUAAUGAGUUUUUGAGGCGUUAGACAUACCACGAAAUUCAUAACAAAUCCAUUUCUCUUAUAUGGCUGUAUUCUAUAGCAUAAAAUCUAAAAGUGUUACUUAAAUAACUCUUUAAUUUUUGUUUUUUUUUUCUUCUUUUCAUACGACAACUCCUGAGAUCAAAAUAUCUUUCUUUUUUUUCUUAUUGUGUGUAUUCAUAAUAGCGGACAAAUCUUAUAAUCUUAGAUAUAAAAAUCAGAUUAUACAUAAAAAUAUAUAAAUAUAUAUUUAGAGUCAAGAACGAAUAUAACCAUAAAAAUUGUAAGUACAUAAGAUGAGUCUAAUCAUAUAUAUGAAAGGAGGUUAUCUCUCUCCAUCCUUCCGCCAUGUCAGCAUUUUAGGCUUUUCUGGAGAUGACACAUCAGCUUUCUAUUCUUCCAAUCAAAACAUUUCAUUAAUAUGGCUCAGCUUCCAAAUUUUACACAUCAGCUUCUAAUUAUAAGUGUCAAAUGGAGUAAACAGAAUAGCCCAUGACAGAUGGGCCAUAUGUGUUUACAAAUCUAUUAGAGUGCAAUAUUAAUGGGUAGAGCCCAUUUCAGUUAUGGGUUAAUGCUUUUAAACCCAACAAAUAUUCUAAUUCUCCACAAGACUUUAACAAAAAAACACAAAAACUUAUACAUUUCACAUAAUAUAUUAUUUUCAUACAUCACGAUAUAACUCUAAAAAAUUUAGUCACAGACAAUGUCCCCAUACCCCUUCGGAGCUUAGUUAUAAACACUACAAAAAACUAAAAUUAAAAACACAAAAUUUCAUAUUUAACUCUAUAAAUACUCAAACCGACAUUGCUUAUACCGGAUUAUAUGUGUUUGAGACAGCAUCAGUAAAUGUUUACCAAGGGGCAAGGAACAUAAAAAGGAUAUAGAACCAUCAUCAUGUACAACCUACACGGGAAUUAAAAAAUGAAAACAUCAGAUACAAAAGUUGACAAAAUCGAUAUACACAACAUUGAAUAGCUACUCACUUGAAUUAUCACUGAGGUGGUGGUAUUUGGAUUAACUGUCAAAACACAAAUACUCUGCAUCGUCCUUUUCAGUAUCAUCUCAUACUCCUUUUCAACUUUUCCAAUCAAUAUACAAAGUAAAAGUCUCUCAGAUCUAAAAACCAAGAAUCACCUGUACCACAUAUUCAAGCAACAAAACAAGCCUACUUCUCAACAACUAAACGCAUUUACGAUUACCAAUUUGUCCGGUUUUAGGCUUCCAUAUGACUUCAAAACAAGCCUUCUCAUCAUUUUCGUUCUUCUUCGUUCCUGCUUUUGGUCCAUAUACUGCAGCUAGAACUUUUGUAUCCCCUGAAAAUAUAAACGCUAGGGUUCAGUGAAUCCCAUUCAAAAAGGAUAACAAAACCUUUUACCCAUAAGAGAUAUUGACAAAGCUGAUAAAGUACCUUCUCACCAACUAGCAGAGCCAUGAGGAUGAUGAAGGAUAUUACAGAAACAAGCAAGAGAUCUCAGCUGAUUUGGUGUUCAAAUUCUCAUUUUUUUUUUUGAAUAAAAUGUUAAAUUAUAUUCAAAAGAUAAAAUAACGUUUUACAUCAGCUUUUGUUGAUUAAGUCUGAAAAAUGAAAACAAAGAUCAAGAGUAAGCUAUUAAUCUUAAUUAUGGUUGAGGAGGUUUCCUAUUGCCGGGAAGCAAACCAGACUUGUAAACCUUUCUCGUACCGGCGGUCUCCGGUUGAGCGAAUGACUGAGAGCUGAUUACGGACCUGCUUGUCUAUCCAACAGAUGAGAUUGGACAUUGUGCGUGAAACCUCUCCAUGGCGUCGAGCAUUUCUUUCUUUCCAUAUCGUGUACAACGUGAGCUGAAAGACGUAUUUAGUCAAGAAGCUCUUGAUGUGAUCAGUUUGAUUCUCUAAUAUGCAGUCCACUAUUGUUGUCCAAUCUGUUGAGAAACGAGUUUGGAAAACGUUCUUAGCGAUUGCAGUCCAAACUUCAGAGGCAUAGCUACACGAGAAAAAAAGAUGAUCCCGGGUCUCUAUAGGUACGAAGCAGAAUGUGCACUUCACUGCUGAGCCAUUGUUCCACUUCUGCAUUAUGUCACCAGUUGAGAGGCGAUUACGCAUAACAAGCCAAGCGCAAAACGAAUUUUUAGGUGUUGAAUGACUGAACCAUACUCCUGUAUACCAUGCCACCUGAUUUGAGUUUGUGCGGAUAUGAUUCCAGGUGUCUUUAGUGCUAAAGCUUGCCUUAAAGACAUCGCCUUUACCUCGCCAUAAGACUGUAUCUUCUUGUUCUAGAUUCUGGCUUUGAUAUUUCUGAAGUAAUACCGCCUCAAUGUCAUUCAACAUUUCUACACGAUGGUUUCUUCUUCUUCUUUGGCUCCAAGCCUCUGCAACUAUCAUUGUCCGCCUUAUACCCAAGUCUAUCAUCCCUCUCUGACCCGUUUUUUCCAUCAAAGUGCCCAUUCCCGACCAGUUAUCAAACCAGAACGACGUCCGAGCUCUAUUCUUUACUUCUACCUUACAGAAUGGCUUUGCUUUAUCUCUAUAUUUCAGCAAUUUCUUCCACAUCCAAGAACCCAAACUUGAGUUAAGCUUCAGAGACCAGAACGACUCUUGCUUGAGCAGAUUCAUUCUUGACCAUUUAACCCACAGAGAAUCACCAUUGGAGGCAAUCCUCCAUAUCAGUUUUAAAAGACUGACCUCAUUCGCUUCUUUCAAAGACCGCAGCCCAAGUCCUCCCUCCUGCUUUGGUUUACAAACUUCAUCCCACGAUACCUUUGCUUUUUUCGAAUUUAAGUCAGGCCCUGACCAUAGAAACGCAGAGCAGAUGUUGUUUAUUUCUUUGAGGCAUGCACUUGGUAGUCGAAAAGCACUCAUUCAGAAACUUGUCGUGCUCCAUAGAACAGAGCUAAUUAGAUUUAGUCGUCCCGCAAAGGAGAGAAAUCGGGCCCACGUACCUAUACGCUUACGAAUCUGGUCAAGUAACGGAGAGAGGUCACUUGUUGUGAGCCAUUUUGUGACUAGUGGGAGACCAAGAUACCUAACUGGGAGCUGGCCCAAUCCAAACGGGUAGCGACUGACCAUCAUUUGUCGGUUUUGGUCUGAAACACCUACAGUGUAGAGAGUCAUUUUUUUCAUGUUGAUUGUCAACCCUGAUCGUCUUGCAAACUGAUUCAUAAUCUCAACUAUACCAUCAACAGAGCGAACUUUGCCGUAUGUGAGAAUCAUAAGAUCAUCAGCGAAACAGAGGUGCGUUAAGCCAAGAUUUUUACAUCUCGGAUGAAAACCAAACUGUUGUGCACCAGCAGCCUUAUCAAGCAUCUUCGAGAGCACCUCCAUACUAAUGACAAACAAGUAUGGAGAAAGCGCGCAUCCCUGUCGAAGCCCUCUUGCGCUUCUAAAAACCCUGCUAACUCUCCAUUAACCUGGAUCGAGAAAGACGAUGUAGUUAUGCAUUUUGAAAUCCAGAGAAUGAAUUCACUUGGGAAGUUCAUAGCAGUUAAGACGUUGAUGAGAAAUGACCAUUGGAGAGAGUCAAAAGCUUUCGAAAUAUCUAUCUUCAUUGCACAACGAGUUGUGACGUUGCUCUUGUGGUAAUCUUUAACCAGUUUUGUUGCCAAAAGAACAUUUUCAAUGAGGAGUCUGUCUUUCACAAACGCCGAUUGGUUCCCCGAUAUAAAUUUAGGUAAUAUCCUCUUCAGCCUAUUUGCGAUUAUCUUCGAUAUUACUUUAUAUAGGACGUUGCAACAUGAAAUAGGCCUAUAGUCUCUCAUCUCUUUUGCUUCCCUCUUCUUUGGAAUGAGAGCUAAAAUGGUUGUAUUGAUCCCUAUUGGUAAAAAACCUUUGGCAAAGAAAGACUGAAUCGCUAUCGUGAACUCGCCUCCAAUAGUUUCCCAUGCUGCCUUAUAAAAUUCUGUUGUGUACCCAUCCGGUCCCGGUGAUUUAUCAUUUGGCAUAGAGAACAGAACUUUUUUUAUCUCUUCCCCUGUUACAACCCUUGUGAGCAGCCGGCUAUCAUCUUCUAAACAACGAAACGAAAGUAGUUUCUCUAGAUUUUCCACUGACAUCCCCUCAUAACCUGCUGGAAUGGUUUGUAAAAAAUCUUACAAAAAAGAUUCCGCCUCUGUUUUUAUUCCUUCUCUGCUAUUGAUAACUCUCCCAUCCUGUGUAAUGGCCUCUCUUAUUGAAUUCAAUGCCUCUCUUGUAGCUGCUGCUCUGUGAAACGUCUUAUUAUUUUUGUCUCCUACAUCCAGCCAAUGCAGCUUCGAUCUCUGUUUUAGGAAUUUUUCCUCUAGACUGGCCACUUUAUCCCAUUUAAAAUAUGCUUCUUUCUCCUCUUCCAUUGCUUGAGUAGAUGGACUAUGUAAAUUUAUCUCCUGCUUCUUACAUAAAUCCUCCAACGCCUCUUUAGUCCUCUUUGUUAAGUUGCCCAUCUUUUCUUUGAAUAAUCUUCUGAUCGCCGGUUUCAGCAAUUUAAGUUUCUUAGAAAAACGAUACAGAGAUUAUGUAGAUAAGUAGAUCAUAUAUGUUUCCUCCCAAUAGUUUUUAACCAGCGGUUUAAACUCAUCCAUCUCAGCUAGAGAUUCAUGUAGUAGCAUACAAAUUCUCAUAUUGUAUAACUAAGAAAUCGUAUCACUGAAAACAAAAACAAAACUGCUUCUAGCUCAACACAAAACUAGAGUAAAAACCUAAUUUCUAGAAGCUGGAAGAAGAUAUGAUUCCUUAUCAAAUUAGAAAACUAACCAAAGCGAAGAUAUAGCUACGGAGAAGAAGCACUCAAGCAGAGAAGAGAGAAGAAGAAACGCUCUGAUUUUCUGUAGAAUUAGGGUUUAUUUGGUUUAAGUUUCUAAACCCUCAAAUUUAAAAUCAAUUAAAGUGUUCCGAGAUCAAACUGGUCGGUCGGGUUUAUGUUUAACCAGUAAAUUCAAUUGAGGAAAGAUACUUAAUACGGUGUUUGAACAUAAUCAAUCUCCCUGAGAAUGAAUCUGAGUAUAACUGACGCAAAAAAAUCCGACGAUUCUUUGUAUCGACGAUGGAUGAUGAAUUGUUGGAAUUGCAGCGUUAGUUCGAGUUUGGUCAACAGGUGAAGUCAAGCGUGAGAUUAUCGAAUUGAAAUGUUGUCGAAUUGGUUCAGAAGCUUUAGGAGCUUGGCGUUAUAGACUUCGAUCUGCUUCAUACUGUCACCAGAAAAGAAUACAUCACUCAGGUACUGGUUCUAUUUCGUUUCCGGUGUGAAUUUAGACUCCAGAAGAUUUUGCAUUAAAUUUUGGUAUCAUGAUGUGAGUAAUGUGUUAAUGGAGUGAAAAUAUGAUAACUCUGCUUGUUGCAUGAGGAAUUUAAUCUGAAAACAAAAGUGAAAUUGUUUGAUCGAGUUUAUGCUGAACAUUGGGAAGGUUUGGGUGAAGAUUUUUUGUAACUGUUCCUCUUGAUUUGUUACAGGAGCAAUUGAGGAAUGAAAUUACUCGUGAGAUUAGUAAAUUGGUACGUCUCUCCUUUAUUGAUCUAGCAGAUACGAUUGGGGUUGAUUUGUAUCUUCUGGAGAAACAAGCAUAAGAUGAUCCAGGGUUAAUGUUGAUUCGAUUGCAGAAGAAAUUAAUGAGAGGCUUCAAGAAUGCCUCCAAAUUGUUGUGGCUGAACUUGCUGGUCAGUUACAGGUUGGCUCUGAGUUGGUGCAAUCGGUUUUGGAGCCUCGACUUGGAACUUUGGUAAUUGUGCUUCUCCUCUGAGCUUUCCAGAUUGUGUUUGAGUGAAUGUUGAACUUUUUUUUUGUGUGGAUUUCUUUUAAUGUUUCAAUCUUUUUAAGGUGAAAGCGAGGCUAGAAGGUGGACACUUAUAUACACCUGCUUAUGUAGAACAUGUGACUGCUAUGGUUCGAGGUGCUUGCAGGGGUAGUUUUGCUCCCUCCAACUUAUCGGCAUUGUGGGCACCAUUGCAACAAUUGGUACAAGAAAUGAAUGGAGCCAGUGGAAUUGCUGUUGAAGGAAGAGGAGAUGCUUGGAUCACUACGUGCUGGAACCCAUUGGACUCCUACCGUAUAUCAUAACAUUCUUAUCUUUUGGGUUUCUGCCACUAAUGGAUUUACAACUCUAUAAAUUGAGGGAUUUCCCAGAUGAAUAACUAUAAAUUUACACAAUUUGUAAUAUAAAUGAUUUGAAUUCUCUAUAUUGUUUAAAUUUUGAGGAUAUUUGGUUUUCUUUUUACAUAAAAUAAAUUGUUCUAAAAAAAAACAUUUCAAUAAGAGUUGUUAAACUCCAAAUAAUAUUACAAAUUGUAUAGUUAUUUUAUUAAAAUAAUAAUAAUAAAAAAUGUUAAACUUCAUCCUAAAAGCUGAAUGAGAAAUUUUUUAAAAAAUAUAUAUAUUAGUCUCAAACAUGCAAUGAUAUACAAAAAUAAAUAAAAAAUAAAAUUAUAAAUAAAUAAAGACAAAACCAUAAUUUUAAAAAAAACAUUCAGAAAUCUAAUAAUAUACAUAUAAAUUUACAUAAAUUUAAAGAAAUUAUUAAAACAAAAUUAAAAACAAAAUCUCGCGCGUAGCGCGGACACUCACCUAGCUAGUUUUAUUAACCAUACAAUAACAAACAAAAAAAUAAACAUAAAUUAGCGACAAAAACAAUUAACAUAUUUUUAUCUUAACAAUUUUCAAAAUAAACUCACGCGUAGCAUGGGAAUUCAUCUAGUACUAAUAAUAUUUGUUCACGUUUUUUGUUUUGCCAAAGAUAUGUGUUAUUAGACUGAAAUUCGAACGAAGGAGUAGCAGCCAGAGAAGCCCAAAUGAUGGUAAACUAAUGAACACUGUUAAAAUUUUUAAGUUCAAAAAAUAUUUGUGAUUCUCAACUUGUACGUAGUACAGGAAGAAUACUAGUAUUAUAUAUAUAAGCUAGCACUCAGUAACUAAUAAUGCAGUUAGCUUAGUGGUUUAACAACAAAGUGUGCCCAUUUCAACCCAAGUUUAAGUCUUUCCAAUGUUUUUUUAUAGAUUUUUUUUUACUAUAGAUCAAUAUAAUUGUAACUAAAUCAAAUGGUUUGGCUCAUUAUUAACUCUUCAACAAAAAACGUGGGCUUCCCUUUUUUGGGCUUAAGACUCUCCUUCUCAUUCAGAGGCUUUCAUUCUUGAGAAAGUUGGAGCUUUGUUAGGAAACAUGUUCCUGUUCAGAAAAUCAUCGAGCUUAGUGUGUGUUUUUAACCUAUUUCUGAAAAUCUUUUUAGAUCUGUGGUGUUUGUGCUGGAGAAAAUUAGGGUUCUUAAUUUUUUCUCCAGUUUUCGUUAUUGUGUCCGACAGUAGCUUUUCCUUGUUAAGUCUCUGUGUUUUGAGAUGUCGUCAAGCAUCGAUAAAGCUUUAUUAGCGAUGUCUUUGGAAGAUGAUGAUGUGCCGUUCAUCAUGCCCGAUCUACCGGAGUUCUGUUCUAGUGAAAACAAUGAGCUGAGUUUAGUUGGUAGAGUGUUAAACCCAGAUGGUCAGAAGAUGUCAAAUUUAACCAUGAAUCUACCAAGGAAGUGGCAGAUCUAUGAUAGAGUGAGAGGGGUUGCUUUGUCCCAAGAGCGAUUUAAAUUUAUCUUCAAAUAUGAACACGAUUUGGAGUUGAUUCUCAAGAAAGGUGUUCAAACGUUCAAUGAAUGGACAUUGGCGAUGGAGAGAUGGGUAGAGUUUCCGCCAGCCGAUUACCUUUAGUUCAUUCAUGUUUGGGUGCAAAUUCGCAACAUACCGAUUAAUCACUAUACGAUUAAUGCUAUCACGACUCUAGGUGAGAUUAUUGGUCAAGUAAAGGAAGUGGCUUUUGAUCCCCUGCAACCACAGAGUCAAGCUUUUGUUCGGGUUUUGGUUCGGUUUGAUGUUUUAAAACCUUUGAGGAGAUCCACGAUCAUUACUUUCAAGCAUAUAGGUGAUGUUUCCAUCUUCUAUGAUUUAGAGAGGAUUCAUAAACGAUGUUUCUUCUGUCAAAGGCUUACUCAUGACCAAUCUAAGUGUCCUUUCCUGCUGAAGGCUAAUCAAGAGAAGAAAGAGUGCCUGAGGAAUAAAGGAAAAGGUUUAGCUCAGUCUCCUGAAAAGAUUCUAAAGGAGUCGGAUCCUUUGUUUGGGGUUCUUAAUGAUAAUCAAGUUGGUGUUGAUCCAAACACAGGAAGACCUAGAAUAGCAAAGGAGGUUUUAGAUGGAAUGAGACAAUACCUGCUAGUAGCUAAUGGACCAGAGAGGAUCGUUAGAGAAGAGAGAAUCAAAUCGUCUCUUGAAGAUUUGAGGAAUAACCAUUUGGGAGAAAAAUCCAUGCUGCGGUUAGAACCACAUCCUAUUGUUUCCCGAGACAUUAACAAAGGUAAAGGAGUGGUUUUUGGUUAUGAUCAGUUGCAAUUAAGAGAUGAAGCUACUGUCAGUGGUGGGAAGGUCUGCAAGCAAGUCAAUGUAGCUGUGAAUCAAGGUAUCGCUAUGAGGCUGCAACCUACAUCAUCGUUUACUCAGUCUGAAGGUGAAAGAGGCUCCUUAAUUUCCUUUGGUGCACCUGUUCAAAGGAAUCCAACGGUAUUUAGGUUUGGUGUCUCUGAUGCUGAACCUUCAUCCGGGCCUCCUUUGAAAAGUGGGAAACCAAGGAAACGCCCUUUCAAAACUAGAAGAAGAAGAGCAACUCAAUCUGCUCAAGUUUCUUCAUGCUCACAUGCUGGCCAGUCUCGUGAUCCUAACGAUACUAAGAACAAAAGGAAAGUUGCGGAUGAGGCUCAAAAGUCAUCAAAAGUCGCUAAGCGCAAAGAGGUGGUCCCAAGUGAGGGACUGUCCAAUCUGUAAUGAGUAUUCUGAAUUGGAACUGCCAGGGAUUGGGACAGUCUCAUGAUCUGGUGAUUCCUAGACUCAAGGAUUUGCGUAAAAAGCACUUCCCUGAGAUUCCGUUUCUUAUGGAAACUAUGCAGUGUAGAGAUAAGUUGUUGGAUUUGCAAGUUCUGUUGGGGUAUGAUAGAUUGUUCACUGUUGAGCCAGUUGGUAAAUGUGGUGGUCUGGCUUUAUUGUGGAAGAGUAGUGUGCAGUUGGAUUUUCUGUUUGAUGAUAAGAAUCUGAUCGAUGUACAGGUGCAGUUUGGUUCUUUUAACUUUUUUCUUGUCUUGUGUGUAUGGGGAUCCUGAUUGUAGUUUGAGAAGUGCUGUUUGGGAAAGAUUGAACAGACUUGGUGUUGGCAGAAGGGAUAGAUGGUGUAUAGUUGGUGACUUUAAUGCGAUCAUGCAUAAUGUAGAAAAGGUGGGUGGUCCUAGGAGAUCUGAUAAUUGUUUCAGCCCUUUGUUGAGAUGUUGGAGUUGUGUCAGAUGGUUGAACUAAGCAGUUCUGGUAAUCACUUCACUUGGGCAGGGAGAAGAGGAGAUCAUUGGAUUCAGUGUAGGCUGGACAGGGCUUUUGGAAAUAAAGAUUGGCUUGAUUAUUUUCUAGCUUCCAAUCAAGCUUUCUUAGACCUGAGGGGCUCUGAUCACCGGCCAGUUUUACUCUGUUUGGUGGCUUCUCAGGAGUCUUACAAGGGUCAAUUCAGGUUUGACAGAAGAUUUCUUCAUAAGGCUGAUGUCAAGACUGCUAUGGUUAGAGCUUGGAAGCCGGGGAUUAGUUCUUCUGGUUUCUUAGUGUCUAAUAGAUUGAGAGCGUGUAGGAAGGCCUUGAGGUCUUGGAAAAAGAAGAAUAACAUGAACUCUUUGCAGAAAAUUCAUCAAUGUGAAGAGGCUUUGGAGUUAGUUCAGUCUGGCAGAUGGCCUAAUAGACAGCAGGUUUAUGAGCUGAAAAGAGAAUUAUCAAAGGCGUACAAGAAUGAAAAAAUUUAUUGGAGUCAAAGGAGCAGACAGAGGUGGUUAAGGUCAGGGAAUAGAAAUUCAAAAUAUUUCCAUGGUGCUGUUAAAGGGAAUAGAGUCAGAAAAAGAAUUGAAAAGUUAAAAGAUGAGAAUGGGAGUCUUCAGCAUUCUGAAUCUGCUAAAGGUGAAGUUGCUUCAGAUUGUUUUAAUAAUCUCUUUACAUCGUCUAAUCCUCAAAGCUUUCAAGACUGGUUUUCUGAUUUCCCUCCAAAAGUUACGGUGGACAUGAAUGAGGCCUUAGUUGCUCGUGUUUUGGCGAUAGAGAUUAGAGAUGCUGUUUUCUCAAUCAAAGCUUCUAGUGCCCCUGGUCCUGACGGUAUGACUGCAUUGUUUUUUCAACAAUUUUGGGAUAUUGUUGGAAAACAGAUGAUUAAGGAAAUUCAGGCCUUCUUUGAGAGUGGUAUCUUCCCAGCUGAAUGGAAUUAUACUUACUUGUGCUUGUUGCCAAAAAUUCAGCUGCCAUUGGAAAUGUCUGAUUUGAGACCAAUAAGCUUGUGCUCUGUUCUGUACAAGGCGAUUUCAAAAAUCUUAGUCAACAGGUUGCAGCCGUUUUUGCCUUUCAUAGUAUCAGUGAAUUAGUCAGCUUUUGUGUCUGAACGAUUGAUUACUGACAACAUCUUGGUGGCUCAUGAAGUGGUGCAUAGCCUUAAUUAAUACGCACCCUGAGAUGUCUGCACACUACAUGGCUGUCAAAACCGAUAUGUCAAAAGCAUAUGAUAAGGUUGAAUGGAGCUACAUUAGAUCUUUGCUUGUUGCGAUGGGGUUUCAUCUUAGAUGGAUUGAGUGGAUUAUGUGUUGUGUCUCAUCUGUCACUUUCUCGGUCUUAAUCAAUGAUCAACCUUUUGGUUUGAUAAAGCCUCAAAGGGGUAUUAGACAAGGAGAUCCCUUAUCUCCUUUUCUUUUUGUGUUGUGUAUAAUCACUACAGGAAAACAGGCCUUUUGCGACUACUUUUUGUGACUCUUUUGUUGGUCGCAAAUAUUUACGACGAUAUUGUUACCAUAUAGUGACUCUUUAACGAUUACGUUAAAAGUAGACGCAUAUUUGUCGCCAAUUUACGACGCCAACGAUUAGUCUCUGCUUAGUCGCCAAUUACCGACCAUUUUGCUACGAUUUUAAGACCGGUCCAAAAAAGGUCCUAGUUUGCGACUAAUUUGGGACGGAAAGAACGGGGUUACAAAACAUCGUCGCUAAAGGGUUACAAUAUAGGACUUAUUUGUUACUUUUUUGUGUCGUCACAAAUCCGUCGCAAAGAUCUAGUGACUAUUUAGCGACUAACACCUGAGACUGGGACUCUUUUCUAACCUAUUAGCGACUCCCGAUAUUUAGAUAAACAUUUACCAUGUAAGAUUUUGAAUUCUCGUAAUGUUAGAUGUGUUUAGUAUGAUCUUAACAAUUAUAGACAGUGAAUACAUCGUAUGCCAUACAAAACUUCAUGUUUUCUAAUGUGAUCUCAAAUAUCUAAAACAUUACAUAAUCAUAUAAGUAAUGUUUACUAAUACUUUUGAAAUGUCCUAAAUUCAUUGAAUUUCAUGUUUUCUCUAAUAUAAAUGAUUGAUCUUGUUGUGUAUUGUAAUAUUAUUGGUUCUAACACUAUAAAUUGAUUUUCUUUGGUUCUAAAACUUUUAAAUUCAUAAGAAUAGGUUUGUGACCCUUAAGAAAAUCGUCACAAAACGGUAACUAAUUUGCGACGGAAACUUAUGAGAGUUACAAAUAAGUCUUAAAUUACCCACAUAUAUGCUACUUAUUUGCGACUAACACCUGAAUUUGAGACGAUUUUGUAACCGUGUAGCGAUGCUCGCGAUUUUAUUUUGAGAUUUACCAAUAGAGAUUUCUCAAUAUGUUAAGUUUCAAGGUUUCUACAUUAAUUUGAACUAUUGUAGGUAUUGAAUCAUUCUAAUAGCUUAAGUUUUAUAUGAUUUAUAGAAACUUUCAUAACAUUACAUCAUAAACUUAAAACAAACUCAUUCGACACUUAGUUAUUGUCGACACUUAGUUAUUAUCGACACAACUCUUAAACAAACUUCUAAUCAUAAAAUUAUAUCAUAAACCAAAAUUUAAAUAUUAAUCAAAACUAAAAUCCAAUACUUAGAAAAAUUAAAACUUUUCAAAUUUUCAAAAAACUCAAAAUUCUCUAAAGCUAUUAAACCAAAAUAUAACUAUUUUGUAAAUAUGUUUAAAUUAAUCAAAAGUUAAGCAAAUUAAUGAAUUUACAAAUAUGUCUAAAAUAUGUCUAAAAUAUUUUGUCUACCAAAAACACUACAAAUUGCAAAAUUAAUAAAGCAAAAGAUAUUGAGUUCCUAUUGGUUACUUCAGAGAGACAUGGAUUGGUCUAUUAGCUUAUCUUGAACCGUUGAUUAGAUAAAAUCCAACGAACCCAAUUGUUUUCCUUUUUUCUUUUUCAUCUACCUAUAACCCAAUUUUUUUCUUCUACGAUUCUUCCCCUUCCCCUCUUUUGCCCUUUGUCACCUCUUCUCCUCAUCAAUCUCUAGACCAGUUAUUGAUGAUCCAACACCAUCUAUUCUGAUACCAACCAGUUAACCCACCACCCGACAACGGAGAGGAGAGGCUUAUCGGUAGAAGAAAUGGUGUGGUAGUCAUCAUCAAAUCGAGAAGAAGAAGGGAGAAGGGUCGUUGAAGACGGAGAUUUGACCACCACCACGAAGCAAACAGAACCAGAUCUCGAUCUGUUGCCCAACGAAACCCUCGAUCCCGCCUGAAACCGAACUCCCCUCCUAGCCACCACAAAAGACAGAAAAAGAAAUCCGGCGACAGAAGAAGAGUACUAAAGAGACAGUGGCGGAGCAAAAGGCUUGUGCUGCGAGUUGAGUGUAGCCGGAAACGGAGGCUCGUCGGCGAGCGAACGGAAUCUAUGGCGGCGGCUGAGAUGAAUUAGGGUUUUUUUUUUGUUGAUUUUAGCGUCCGGUUCAACCGGCAUUUUGUAACCAAUUCAAUUCUGUAGCUCUUAACCAAUUACCGGUUUGGGUUGGUUAUUAAUAUCAAUAUAUAUUAUUUUGUUUAAAAAAUUCUGUCACGAAAUAUAUAUAUAUAUAUAUACAUAAAU